ACAGUAAAAAGUCCGAGGGCAGCCGCCGGGCGCAGGAUGGGAUCCGGCUCCUCCAGCUACCGGCCCAAGGCCAUCUACCUGGACAUCGAUGGACGCAUUCAGAAGCACUCCCUACAAAGUGAGACCUGUGGCCAUCAAGCAACUCUCUGAGCAUUCAAAAUCAAUGAACUGAAAGCUGAAGUUGCAAAUCACUUGGCUGUCCUAGAGAAACGCGUGGAAUGACCAACUGCCCCUGUAAGUACAGUUUUUUGGAUAACCACAAGAAGUUGACUCCUCGACGCGAUGUUCCCACUUACCCCAAGUACCUGCUCUCUCCAGAGACCAUCGAGGCCCUGCGGAAGCCGACCUUUGACGUCUGGCUUUGGGAGCCCAAUGAGAUGCUGAGCUGCCUGGAGCACAUGUACCACGACCUCGGGCUGGUCAGGGACUUCAGCAUCAACCCUGUCACCCUCAGGAGGUGGCUGUUCUGCGUCCACGACAACUACAGAAACAACCCCUUCCACAACUUCCGGCACUGCUUCUGCGUGGCCCAGAUGAUGUACAGCAUGGUGUGGCUCUGCAGUCUCCAGGAGAACUUCUCACAAAUGGAUAUCCUGAUCCUAAUGACAGCGGCCAUCUGCCACGAUCUGGACCAUCCCGGCUACAACAACACGUACCAGAUCAAUGCCCGCACAGAGCUGGCGGUCCGCUACAAUGACAUCUCACCGCUGGAGAACCACCACUGCGCCGUGGCCUUCCAGAUCCUCGCCGAGCCUGAGUGCAACAUCUUCUCCAACAUCCCACCUGAUGGGUUCAAGCAGAUCCGACAGGGAAUGAUCACAUUAAUCUUGGCCACUGACAUGGCAAGACAUGCAGAAAUUAUGGAUUCUUUCAAAGAGAAAAUGGAGAAUUUUGACUACAGCAACGAGGAGCACAUGACCCUGCUGAAGAUGAUUUUGAUAAAAUGCUGUGAUAUCUCUAACGAGGUCCGUCCAAUGGAAGUCGCAGAGCCUUGGGUGGACUGUUUAUUAGAGGAAUAUUUUAUGCAGAGCGACCGUGAGAAGUCAGAAGGCCUUCCCGUGGCCCCGUUCAUGGACCGAGACAAAGUGACCAAGGCCACAGCCCAGAUUGGGUUCAUCAAGUUUGUCCUGAUCCCAAUGUUUGAAACAGUGACCAAGCUCUUCCCCAUGGUUGAGGAGAUCAUGCUGCAGCCACUUUGGGAAUCCCGAGAUCGCUACGAGGAACUGAAGCGGAUAGAUGAUGCCAUGAAAGAGUUACAGAAGAAGACUGACAGCUUGACGUCUGGGGCCACCGAGAAGUCCAGAGAGAGAAGCAGAGAUGUGAAAAACAGUGAAGGAGACUGUGCCUGAGGAAAGCGGGGGGCGUGGCUGCGGUUCUGGACAGGCUGGCCGAGCUGCGCGGGAUCCUUGUGCAGGGAAGAGCUGCCCUGGGCACCUGGCACCACAAAACCACGUUUUCUAAGAACCAUUUUGUUCACUGAUACAAAAAAAAAAAAAAGGAAUUCAUGAUGCUGUACAGAAUUUUAUUUUUAAACUGUCUUUUAAAUAAUAUAUUCUUAUACGGAAA
This 1566-nucleotide small RNA is filed under the name Pan troglodytes (chimpanzee). Its description in RNAcentral is "processed transcript". Lineage: Eukaryota; Metazoa; Chordata; Mammalia; Primates; Hominidae. The record is from RNAcentral.